GCAGAUAUUAGAAAACAAAAAUGAUGAAAGUGUACAAUAAACUGAGCUAGACUCGUUCUAGUGAGAGUUCAAGUAAUAAUGUCAGUUGAAAGAGCUUGCCGUAUGCAGUCUCCCAUAAUCCCUUCGCUAAUAGCACGAAUAUACAUCUCGUAUUCGUAGGAUAACAAAAUCAGGAAUUUUAUCCACCUUACAAGUUCCCCUUCUAAUCAUCUGGUAGAAAAAAAAUAAUGGUUCCUAUUUAAUUUGCUUCUGCUGAGCUAAGCAAUUUUAAAUAAAGGCCAUGUUUGAUAAUAAUUUUUAAAGUAGCGUUUAGUAUUUUGACAAGAGUUAAAAUAUUAUCUCUUUUUUAGUGUCACGACCCAACCUAUG
This 369-nucleotide unclassified non-coding RNA is filed under the name Hevea brasiliensis (rubber tree). The record is from RNAcentral. Lineage: Eukaryota; Viridiplantae; Streptophyta; Magnoliopsida; Malpighiales; Euphorbiaceae.